This is a non-coding RNA of Dipodomys ordii (Ord's kangaroo rat), 65 nucleotides long. The record is from Rfam. Lineage: Eukaryota; Metazoa; Chordata; Mammalia; Rodentia; Heteromyidae.
GGUGGCCCAGUGGUAGAGCACUUGCCUUGCAUGCAUGAGGCCCUGGGUUCAAUUCCUCAGCACCA